UUGACCACUGAUGCAAAAGUUAGCUGCUGCCUUGGUCCUUCACUGAUCAGGGAUUCCUUGCUUUAUUUACUUAUGAGAGAGAGGUGAGAGAACCAGAACAUCAUUCUGGCACAUGCAAUGCCAGGGAUUGAACUCAACACUUCAUACAUGAGAGUCUAAUGCUUUAUCUACUGUCCCACCACCCAGGCAGAAGUUACCUGCUCUUUAACCUUGCUCAGUCCCUUUCUCAAGCAAACCUGCACAGCCUGAUCCCUAGAAUACACAGAGGUCAUUAGGGUGACACUGCUACCAGGAGGCCUUGGGUGAACUAAGCACCAAGACACAAGAGGGACUGUGAGGACCUCUCUUAUCAGGAAAUGCAACUCAGAGCAGUGAAAUCACACAUGCCCAAGCCCAAUACCCCAUAAACCAAACAGUGAGCUAUUUCCACUCCAGUCAGCCGAAGGAGUAUGGCAAGUCAGACAUCUUUCCCAGUGAGCUCUUGUCCUGGCCAAGCUUCCUGAUUUUUGAGCAGUUUAACCUGCACACCUGCCUCUCUGCCCC
Long non-coding RNA from Erinaceus europaeus (western European hedgehog), 543 nucleotides. RefSeq lists it as uncharacterized. The record is from RefSeq and is a predicted model, not a curated record. NCBI's taxonomy places the organism in Eukaryota, Metazoa, Chordata, Mammalia, Eulipotyphla, Erinaceidae. The transcript has 3 exons.